ACUGUAUCAGAAGUCAUUGAGGGUGGGUCUUUUGUGUCCUAAAAGUGUCAGUAGAAGGCAGAGAAAAGAGAGGUUAUGUCCACGCUCAGCUCACUGUCCUGACCUAUGAACACCUGAAUGAUUAGUAGCCUAACAUU
Grammomys surdaster is the source of this 137-nucleotide small nucleolar RNA. RefSeq annotates it as small nucleolar RNA SNORA17. The record is from RefSeq and is a predicted model, not a curated record. NCBI's taxonomy places the organism in Eukaryota, Metazoa, Chordata, Mammalia, Rodentia, Muridae. The transcript has a single exon.